Molecule: ribosomal RNA, 484 nt
Filed under: uncultured bacterium
Lineage: Bacteria
Description: partial 16S ribosomal RNA
Rfam family: Bacterial small subunit ribosomal RNA
Source: RNAcentral
GACGAACGCUGGCGGCGUGCUUAACACAUGCAAGUCGAACGAUGAAGCCGGAGCUUGCUCUGGUGAAUUAGUGGCGAACGGGUGAGUAACACGUGAGUAACCUGCCCUUGACUCUGGGAUAACUGCGGGAAACUGUAGCUAAUACCGGAUACGACCCUCGGAGGCAUCUCCUGGGGGUGGAAAGAAUUUCGGUCAAGGAUGGACUCGCGGCCUAUCAGCUAGUUGGUGAGGUAAAGGCUCACCGAGGCGACGACGGGUAGCCGGCCUGAGAGGGUGACCGGGCAAACUGGGACUGAGACACGGCCCAGACUCCUACGGGAGGCAGCAGUGGGGAAUGUUGCACAAUGGGCGCAAGCCUGAUGCAGCAACGCCGCGUGAGGGAUGACGGCCUUCGGGUUGUAAACCUCUUUUAGCAGGGAAGAAGCGAAAGUGACGGUACCUGCAGAAAAAGCACCGGCUAACUACGUGCCAGCAGCCGCCGUAA